UACGGCUCAGUAACACGUAGCUAACCUAACCUUAGGUCAAGGAUAAUCUCGGGAAACUGAGGAUAACACUUGAUAGAAAAUAUCUACUGGAAUGUGAUAUUUUUGAAACUCGUGCCUAAGGAUGGGGCUGUGGCUGAUUAGCUUGUUGUUGGUGUAAAAGACUAACAAGGCGAUGAUCAGUAAGGGUUUUUAGCGAAAGGGCCCUGAGAAGGAAUCUGAGACACUAUUCCUAGCUCUACGGGGUGCAGCAGUCGAGGAAAUUUUACAAUGCUCGAAAGAGUGAUAGAAUAAACCAAAGUGUUUCUCCUAGAGAAACUUUUACCUGUUGUAAAAAGACAGGAGAAUAAGGACUGGGCAAGACCGGUGCCAGCCGCCGCGGUAAUACCGGCGGUCCAAGUCGCAUCCACAUUUAUUGGGUCUAAAACAUUCGUAGCUUGUUCUGCAAGUCUCUUGUGAAAUCUGACAUCUCAAGUGUCAGGCGUGCAAGAGAUACUGCAUUGCUAGAGACCGGAAGACGUAAGGAGUACGAUCAAGGUAGCGGUAAAAUGUGUUAAUCUUGAUCGGACUAACAAUGGCGAAGGCACCUUACGAGUACGGAUCUGACAGUGAGGGAUGAAGGCUAGGGGCGCAAAAGGGAUUAGAUACCCCUGUAGUCCUAGCAGUAAACACUGCUCACUAAACAUUAGUGCCUCCUCGAGAGGCAUUAGUGCUGUAGGGAAGCCGAAGAGUGAGCUACCUGGGAAGUAUAGUCGCAAGGCCGAAACUUAAAGGAAUUGGCGGGGGAGCAC
Molecule: ribosomal RNA, 788 nt
Filed under: uncultured archaeon
Lineage: Archaea
Description: bacterial SSU rRNA
Rfam family: Archaeal small subunit ribosomal RNA
Source: RNAcentral